This 2420-nucleotide long non-coding RNA is filed under the name Mus musculus (house mouse). RNAcentral's name for it is "RIKEN cDNA 6430573P05 gene, transcript variant 3 (6430573P05Rik)". The record is from RNAcentral. Lineage: Eukaryota; Metazoa; Chordata; Mammalia; Rodentia; Muridae.
GACGCGUCCCGGGUCCUCGCGCGCCGGUCGAGAGGGAGGGCCGCGCGCUGAGCCUGGUGAGCCCGGCUCAGGUCUGGGAGCCACCGAGCCCGCUGGCCUCGGCCGCCGUGGCCGCGCCGCGCCUCCGUCUACUGUCGGCCGCGCCUCCCGACUGCUGCUGCAUCCCCGCGGGCCGCGCAGCUCCAGCCGCCCGCCCCCAUCGGCGCCUGAGCGCGGCUGCUCCCCGCGCGGCCCCCGCGCUCUAGGCAACUUUGUGCGUCGUCCGUGCGGCGGGCGGGCGCGGCGGGCCAGACACGGGUCCCCGGCGGGCGCGAGGCCGAGAGCGGAGCGCGCAGCCCCGCCAAGCGUCUGCUGAACGGCGACCGCCUCCUCUUCCCCGCCUCUUCCUUCUCCUGCGCCUCGGCGGCCGCCGGAGCCACUCUUCAGGGAGGAAGCGGCCUCCGGGGCUUGUUGCUUUGUGCUGCAACCAUGGUGAGGAGUGAGUGACGGGCCGGGGGCCAGUCGGAGGCCGCCGCAUCAUCGGGGGCGGAGCGCCCCGUGGCGCCGGCCCGCCCCAUCGCUGGCCUGGCGGGGCCGCGCCCUCGCUGAGAGCCGCGUUCUGCCGGGGCCAGGUGCGGUGGGAGCCAGGACAGCCGGGGCUGUUGCGAUCGUUGAUCCCAUAGCUGAGCGGCCGCACCCCGACUCUCUGGCCUAGACCCCACAUCCCAGGCCUUGCGGCACGUCUCCCGCCUCUUCCCGGGCUGGAAGCUGACCCCACCCGGGAGAGGUCCCUGUGAGGACUCGGCUGCAGUGGCAGGUCUUCCCAAAGCUUAGGGCUGACUGGGAUUUUGCUUCGGUGGCAACAUUAACCAUCCUUGGAUUCUGUUUAUUUGUAGUGACUGCAAGGACAACGUUGCUCUCCUACCUUCCGCGCUCACUGACAUCUAAACCCUUAAAUGACUCCUGCGUUAGUCAGCAACUGCUUCCUGCUUUAUCUGAAGUCCUAGAGCAGCAACUUGAAUUCUCCAGGCUAAACCUCCACUUCAAAAGCAAAAUAACAGAAAAAGAGAAUUUUAAACCCAAUGAUCUGCAAAAUACAUAUACCCGACAUUCCCCAUUUGGAGUCUAUGCGACAUUUCAGAGUGUGUGUGUACAAAUCUGGUUCCACUUUUCUUGUCCCAAACAUCCCCCAUCCACAGCCUUAAAUGUCCCAAUUAAUAAGACACCAUUAUCACCAUCCAGGUUCCCCAGGGUUCAUCCUAGUAUCUUCUUAAUUUCUUUCUCCUCUAUGCAACAAAGUUUGGUACAGCCUUCUACCUCAACUUUCAAAGUUCUAAUAGAUGUGUAUUCCAGUCCCUACCACCUUUCCUACAGUGAUCAUGGUCCAAAGCACUACAACCCUCUGAUUGCAUUUUUCUAUAGUUAUAUCCCUAGUACCCUUUUUCUUUCUUUCCUUCUUCCUUUCUUUCUUCCUUUCUUUCUUUCUUUCUUUCUUCCUUCCCUCCUUUCUUGUUUCUUUGUUUCUUGUUUAUUUGUUAGUUUGUUUUCCUCUGAGUAGCCCAUUCUCAUGACAGCAGCCGGUGUAAAUGUGCUCCCGUGAGUCACUGCUUAUCUUCCAUGACAUUCAUCCCACAAGCCUAGAACUCUGUGGCCUCAAUGACCCCUGAACCUAGUCCUCCAACCUGUGACCUCUUCUGACCUACUCUCAUAUCCACUAUGUUCCCUACUCAGUUCCUCAGGCACACGAGCUUCCAUGCUGUUUCUAAAGAAAUAAAGCAAAUGUGGAUCUCCUGGCCUUCCAUCUGCUGUUCCUUCUACUGCUGUGUUGGCUCUACCUUUCCCCUUCCACCCACGGAAGAAAAAGAAAACAUAUGUAACAGAUGGAAUGCUGCUUUCCACCUCCUUUGCUCUUCUCUCAUCUUUAUUCAAAUAUCAUCUUCCCCAUGGUUGCGUAGCCUACCUUCCUGGCUUUAUUUAACACCUAACCUGCAUAUUGUAUUUUACUCAUUUUGUAUUUUCUUACUCCACUGUAAUGUCAGCUGUGCACGUCAAUGAUUUUUAUUUUGUUGACCUCUAUACCAACUAGUAUUAUUGGAUGGAUACUCGAAUUACUCAAAUACCUUAUAGUUGUAUGAUAUAUAUUAUUAUCACACCUAUAUGGUGGGAAAAAGGAAGUUGCAAGAGGACACACAAGCCCACUAAGCCUGUCUUCUGUCCUACAGAAAGAAUGCAUUUACUUCGUGCUGAAGAUUUGCAAGUAUCAAAUACAACACAUGCAAAGAUGUUGCACAGUGCUUGAGCCAUAGUAUGAACUCAACAAAUAGUUGUUAUUUUUAAGAUCAUAUUCGUCAUCCCCACCCUUUGAGGUUUGUGGACAGUUAUUAUCAUCCUGUUUACAGAUGGGGAAACUGGCAAUAAAGUGGGCUGUGUGAUUUGCCCUA